CUUUGCUGAACAUUAUUGCUGUUUACAGUUAAUCUCUAUCUAUAAUAAUAUUCAAGAUAAUAACCAAAAACAGUAAAAUUUUCUUAAAAUUACCAAUUUAGGGGCAGCAACCCAACAACGGGUUGUUGGAUUCAUCUGAAAAUUUGAAGGCAGAUAGAUCUUGACCUGAUUAACAAUUUUACCCAUUGUCAGAUUUGCUCUAAAUGCUUUGGUUUUUUAGUUAUAAGCCAAAAACUGCAUUUUACCCCUAUGUUCUAUUUUUAGCCAUGGCGGCCAUCUUGGUUGGUUGGCCGGGUCACGCCACACAUUUUUUUAAACAUGUUACCCCUAUGAUGAUUGUGGCCAAGUUUAGUUUAAUUUGGCCCAGUAGUUUCAGAGAAGAAGAUUUUUGUAAAAGAUUACUAAGAUUUACGAAAAAAUGGUUAAAAAUUGACUAUAAAGGGCAAUAACUCCUAAAGGGGUCAACUGACCAUUUUGGUCAUGCUGAUUUAUUUGUAAAUCUUACUUUGCUGAACAUUAUUGCUGUUUACAGUUUAUCUCUAUC
This 544-nucleotide long non-coding RNA is filed under the name Mytilus galloprovincialis (Mediterranean mussel). The record is from RNAcentral. Lineage: Eukaryota; Metazoa; Mollusca; Bivalvia; Mytilida; Mytilidae.